This 631-nucleotide long non-coding RNA is filed under the name Lathyrus oleraceus (garden pea). Its description in RNAcentral is "Pisum sativum (pea) long non-coding RNA (PSAT_LNC011026)". Lineage: Eukaryota; Viridiplantae; Streptophyta; Magnoliopsida; Fabales; Fabaceae. The record is from RNAcentral.
CUUUGAACACAACAGUGGUUUCUCCAAUCUAUUAUGCAUUGUUCGCUUUGUUUACAAUAUUAGCCGGUGCAAUCAUGUUUAAGGAUUAUUUAGGACAAAGUAUGAGCAGUAUUGAAUGAGAGCUAUGUGGUUUCAUCAUUGUUUUAUCUAGAACAACUGUAUCGCACUGCACUAGAAUACCAGAUCCUCCCGUCAGUACCGAUGUAUACAGUCCCCUGUCACCAAAACUUUAUCAGCAUUACAAACAUAAUGAAGAACAGUUUUGGAGAAUACAACAACAACACAAAAAUCAAAUGCAAAACCUGUUUGAUGAAGGCCUCUAUUCCGUGUUUCUGUUGAAGGAUCAAGAAUGGAAUCUUUGGUGUCGGACUGUCGUGUUCAGUUGGAACAGGUAACUCCGUGGCAGUGGCCGAGUUGCGACGGAGAUGAUGCGAGGAGAUCAAGGCUGCUGGAUAGUACACACAAGCGUUCUUCCUGUGUCUACUGUGUUCCUUCACUCCCGCUGGCAUAUCAACAGAGCAUAUAAUACCGUCAAAAAUGACGGAAUACGGUUCAAAUGGAAGAACCGUUCCUUCCUUCUUUCCAUGGUUGGACUAUGCAGCAAAAUAUCCUCUUUCUGAAUUCUUUAAAC